GACGAACGCUGGCGGCGUGCUUAACACAUGCAAGUCGAACGGAAAGGCCCUGCUUUUGUGGGGUGCUCGAGUGGCGAACGGGUGAGUAACACGUGAGUAACCUGCCCUUGACUUUGGGAUAACUUCAGGAAACUGGGGCUAUUACCGGAUAGGAUCUCCUGCUGCAUGGUGGGGGUUGGAAAUUUUCGUCGGUUGGGGAUGGACGCGAGGCUUAUCAUCUUGUUGGUGGGGUAGUGGCUUACCAAGGCUUUGACGGGUAGCCGGCCUGAGAGGGUGACCGGCAACAUUGGGACUGAGAUACGGCCCAGACUGCGACGGGAGGCAGCAGUGGGGAAUAUUGCACAAUGGGCGGAAGCCUGAUGCAGCAACGCCGCGUGCGGGAUGACGGCCUUCGGGUUGUAAACCGCUUUCGCCUGUGACGAAGCGUGAGUGACGGUAAUGGGUAAAGAAGCACCGGCUAACUACGUG
This 468-nucleotide ribosomal RNA is filed under the name uncultured bacterium. RNAcentral's name for it is "partial 16S ribosomal RNA". It matches the Rfam family "Bacterial small subunit ribosomal RNA", at positions 28 to 507 of the family's 1533-position model. The record is from RNAcentral.